This 758-nucleotide ribosomal RNA is filed under the name uncultured bacterium. Its description in RNAcentral is "bacterial SSU rRNA". It matches the Rfam family "Bacterial small subunit ribosomal RNA", at positions 28 to 776 of the family's 1533-position model. The record is from RNAcentral.
GAUGAACGCUAGCUACAGGCUUAACACAUGCAAGUCGAGGGGCAUCAGGAAGAAAGCUUGCUUUCUUUGCUGGCGACCGGCGCACGGGUGAGUAACACGUAUCCAACCUGCCCUUUACUCGGGGAUAGCCUUUCGAAAGAAAGAUUAAUACCCGAUAGCAUAGUGAUUCCGCAUGGUUUCAUUAUUAAAGGAUUCCGGUAAAGGAUGGGGAUGCGUUCCAUUAGGUUGUUGGUGAGGUAACGGCUCACCAAGCCUUCGAUGGAUAGGGGUUCUGAGAGGAAGGUCCCCCACAUUGGAACUGAGACACGGUCCAAACUCCUACGGGAGGCAGCAGUGAGGAAUAUUGGUCAAUGGGCGCUAGCCUGAACCAGCCAAGUAGCGUGAAGGAUGAAGGCUCUAUGGGUCGUAAACUUCUUUUAUAUAAGAAUAAAGUGCAGUAUGUAUACUGUUUUGUAUGUAUUAUAUGAAUAAGGAUCGGCUAACUCCGUGCCAGCAGCCGCGGUAAUACGGAGGAUCCGAGCGUUAUCCGGAUUUGUUGGGUUUAAAGGGAGCGUAGGUGGACUGGUAAGUCAGUUGUGAAAGUUUGCGGCUCAACCGUAAAAUUGCAGUUGAUACUGUCAGUCUUGAGUACAGUAGAGGUGGGCGGAAUUCGUGGUGUAGCGGUGAAAUGCUUAGAUAUCACGAAGAACUCCGAUUGCGAAGGCGGCCUACUGGGCACCAACUGACGCUGAGGCUCGAAAGUGUGGGUAGCAAACAGG